This 106-nucleotide small nucleolar RNA is filed under the name Phycomyces blakesleeanus NRRL 1555(-). RNAcentral describes it as "Small nucleolar RNA snR60/Z15/Z230/Z193/J17". It matches the Rfam family "Small nucleolar RNA snR60/Z15/Z230/Z193/J17". From Rfam's summary of the family: The members of this family belong to the C/D class of snoRNAs which contain the C (UGAUGA) and D (CUGA) box motifs. The record is from Rfam by way of RNAcentral. Lineage: Eukaryota; Fungi; Mucoromycota; Mucoromycetes; Mucorales; Phycomycetaceae.
UACAAGUGAUGAUAAAGCUUUAGCAUGGCAUAGUUCAACUGACAGGGGACUUACUACCCUCUGAGUGUUGACUUCAAAAUUCUUUCGCUCCUAUCUGAUACUUUCU